AAAAAAAAAAAAGAAAAAAGAUCUACUGAGGUCUUCUUUUUUUUUCCUCCCUAUGGGAUUUGGGUUUGCCCACUCCAAAACUAUUUCCAGAUAUUUUGCCUAACCCAGCUUGCAACCUAUGAUCUUGCUAGUUGUACUAGCCCAAUCCGUGAAUCCUAUAAGAUUUUCAACCAAUCCUAUAGGAAAAUCUAAACAAGCCUUAAGUGAAUUAGAAUUCCUAAACCUAAUGAGCAGAAAGCAAUAUCUUUCCCAAUGAAAGGAACUCAAUUCUAUCAUUGACUGUGUCUAUCGAACUACAUUCAUGAUAAUCAUAGGACAGCAUACCCCAUAAGCAAUCCUUGGAAAGGUCCAUAAUGAUGUAGCAUCAAGACACAUGGAAAGUUUCUUGAGAGGAUGCUUAUAAGCAUGCCACACAAAAGAUAAGAACAUUGGGAUGAAUCUUCUCCAACGAUUCCUCAACCAGGUCCCUUUCAUUGCAAUCUUCAUGUAAGUCUUAAAGAUCCAAAAUAUUAUAACCAAUAUUAUCAUGAAUCAAGGAUAUCUAAAUAUUGUACCAUUCAUCAAUCUAUCCUCAUGAGUAUUAUCUCCCAUAAAUAGGCUGCUUAUGAAGUGUUCAUGAAUUUAUCUUUUAAAUAUAUGUAUCUUACAUACAAGCACAAUUUAAAAAGGGGAAAAAUGUCCUUACCUUCUCACUACCUCAACACUAGGAACAUCAUACCUUGCAUCAACAUUACUCUUCAUUACAUAGCUAAACAUAAAUAUCAACUUAGAGAGGCGAAUUAUUCAAAGAUGAUAGGCCCGAAUCUAUAAGGUGAUAAUCACCAUCCACCCAUGUACCUGUUCGAUUUCAUUAGGUGCCUUUACUGUUGAACCCCUUACACAUUAUAACUUUCAAUUUCUAAACUCUACUACCAACAUUUUCCUUGAGCACUUAGAACGAGGUUGCAAAUACUCCACUUGAUGCCAUAUUAUGGUUGCAAACACUCCAAAACUAUUUCUAGAUAUUUUGCCUAACCCAGCUUGCAACCUACGAUCUUGCUAGUUGUACUGGCCUAAUCCGUGAAUCCUACAAGAUUUUCAACCAAUCCUAUAGGAAAAUCUAAACAAGCCCUAAGUGAAUUAGAAUUCCUAAACCUAACGAUCAGAAAGCAAUAUCUUUCCCAAUGAAAGGAACUCGAUUCUAUCAUUGACUGUGUCUAUCAAACUACGUUCAUGAUAAUCAUAGGACAGCAUACCCCAUUAGCAAUCCUUGGAAAGGUCCAUAAUGAUGUUGCAUCAAGACACAUGGAAAGUUUCUUGAGAGGAUGCUUAUAAGCAUGCCACACAAAAAGAUAAGAACAUUGGGAUGAAUCUUCUCCAAUGAUUCCUCAACCAGGUCCCUUUCAUUGCAAUCUUCAUUUAAGUCUUAAAGAUCCAAAAUAUUAUAACCAAUAUUAUCAUGAAUCAAGGAUAUCUAAAUAUUGUACCAUUCAUCAAUCUAUCCUCAUGAGUAUUAUCUCCCAUAAAUAGGCUGCUUAUGAAGUGUUCAUGAGUUUAUCUUUUAAAUAUAUGUAUCUUAGAUACAAGCACAAUUUAAAAAGGGGAAAAAUGUCCUUACCUUCUCACUACCUCAACACUAGGAACAUCAUACCUUGCAUCAACAUUACUCUUCAUUACAUAGCUAAACAUAAAUAUCAACUUAGAGAGGCAAAUUAUUCAAAGAUGAUAGGCCCGAAUCUAUAAGGUGAUAAUCACCAUCCACCCAUGUACCUGUUCAAUCUCAUUAGGUGCCUUUACUGUUGAACCCCUUACACAUUAUAACUUUCAAUUUCUAAACUCUACUACCAACAUUUUCCUCGAACACUUAGAACGAGGUUGCAAAGACUCCACUUCAUGCCAUAUUAUGGUUGCAAACACUCCAAAACUAUUUCUGGAUAUUUUGCCUAACCCAGCUUGCAACCUACGAUCUUGCUAGUUGUACUGGCCCAAUCCGUGAAUCCUACAAGAUUUUCAACCAAUCCUAUAGAAAAAUCUAAACAAGCCCUAAGUGAAUUAGAAUUCCUAAACCUAACGAUCAGAAAGCAAUAUCCUUCCCAAUGAAAGGAACUCGAUUCUAUCAUUGACUGUGUCUAUCAAACUACGUUCAUGAUAAUCAUAGGACAGCAUACCCCAUGAGCAAUCCUUGGAAAGGUCCAUAAUGAUGUAGCAUCAAGACACAUGAAAAGUUUCUUGAGAGGAUGCUUAUAAGCAUGCCACACAAAAGAUAAGAACAUCGAGAUGAAUCUUCUCCAAUGAUUCCUCAACCAGGUCCCUUUCAUUGCAAUCUUCAUGUAAGUCUUAAAGAUCCAAAAUAUUAUAACCAAUAUUAUCAUGAAUCAAGGAUAUCUAAAUAUUGUACCAUUCAUCAAUCUAUCCUCAUGAGUAUUAUCUCCCAUAAAUAGGCUGCUUAUGAAGUGUUCAUGAGUUUAUCUUUUAAAUAUAUGAAUCUCAGAUACAAGCACAAAUUAAAAAGGGGAAAAAUGUCCUUACCUUCUCACUACCUCAACACUAGGAACAUCAUACCUUGCAUCAACAUUACUCUUCAUUACAUAGCUAAACAUAAAUAUCAACUUAGAGAGGCGAAUUAUUCAAAAAUGAUAGGCCCGGAUCUAUAAGGUGAGAAUCACCAUCCACCCAUGUACCUGUUCGAUCUCAUUAGGUGCCUUUACUGUGGACCCCUUACACAUUAUAACUUUCAAUUUCUAAACUCUACUACCAACAUUUUCCUUGAGCACUUGGAACGAGGUUGCAAAGACUCCACUUGAUGCCAUAUUAGGGUUAGCAUAAAAAAUUCAUAUUCAAAGAAACUUUCAUUUAUGUAGCCAAAGGAUUAAAAUCCCAUUAUGGAUGCCUGUCCCGAGGACAAUACAAUGCCGGGAAGGAUUGGGACAGCCUAGAAUGACUGCAGGAUUUCCAUUUUCCCAUCUCCCAUCUUAAUGUCUUCAAGGAUCCUCUUAUAUUUUUCCAUGCAAACUCCAUUAAUAGAGAAAUAUUUUACUAGACAUAGAGAACUUCUAAGAAGGCCUUGUUUUAAUGAAGCUUGCAAACCACAAGAAUUGUAACACAACCCUUAGGUGAACCAAGGCUAAACACAAGUGAGAGAUCAAUCUCAAAUUACAAGAAAAAAUAAAAAUGAUGAUACCAAUUAGUUUGUCUAUUUGUUUAUAAAUUAUUGCAGAAUAAAAUCUUUACAAAACCAUGUGGUAGACAAAAAUCCAUUUCCUAAUCAUUAUUCUUGAGAUGCAUAUAUGCUUGCGGACAGUUAACCAUACCCAACAAAAACUGAUUAUGAAAAACAGCUUGGUGCAGAAAACUCACCAAAGAUAAGCACCAUAGCACCUCAUAACUGUCUAAUCUAAAGAUAUAAAAACAUAACAAAGAGGACCCAAAGACACCAAUCAAUAUAAAUCAGGUCAUUGAGACGUGAUUAACAAUAUUGAAGUCUAACUAUUUUACAAACAAGACCCAACAGAAAAUAGGAUCCAAUCAGUGACAUGAGUGUGAAAAUGAGCUAAUUUUGUUCAGAAUCUAUGACAAUCUCAUCAUUUAUAAGAAAGGAAAAAGGGCAAAGAAAAAACAACUGCACUGUGUACGGCCAAACCUUCAAAUAUUACAACAGAAAUAACAUAGUUCAAAACACUCUGUUUACAUCCCAUCUCAACAACCUACCCGGUGGCCAUG
This 3699-nucleotide long non-coding RNA is filed under the name Elaeis guineensis (African oil palm). RNAcentral describes it as "long non-coding RNA (EGUI_LNC023172)". The record is from RNAcentral. Lineage: Eukaryota; Viridiplantae; Streptophyta; Magnoliopsida; Arecales; Arecaceae.